RNAcentral lists this ribosomal RNA (254 nucleotides) under uncultured bacterium. RNAcentral's name for it is "partial 16S ribosomal RNA". It matches the Rfam family "Bacterial small subunit ribosomal RNA", at positions 524 to 776 of the family's 1533-position model. The record is from RNAcentral.
UACGUAGGGGGCAAGCGUUGUCCGGAUUUAUUGGGCGUAAAGAGCUCGUAGGUGGUUCGGUAAGUCGGAUGUGAAAUCUCCAGGCUCAACCUGGAGGGAUCAUUCGAUACUGCCGUGACUAGAGUUCGGUAGGGGAGUGUGGAAUUCCUGGUGGAGCGGUGAAAUGCGCAGAUAUCAGGAGGAACACCCGUAGCGAAGGCGGCACUCUGGGCCGAUACUGACACUGAGGAGCGAAAGCGUGGGGAGCGAACAGG